This is an RNA transcript of Phasianus colchicus (ring-necked pheasant), 1883 nucleotides long. It is a transcript of the gene named RecQ mediated genome instability 2, with no coding region annotated. NCBI's taxonomy places the organism in Eukaryota, Metazoa, Chordata, Aves, Galliformes, Phasianidae. The record is from RefSeq and is a predicted model, not a curated record.
UCAUGGAACAGGGGGGGAGUAGGGGAAAAAAAGGUCAUUUGCUGUAUUCUGGUACUUCAAACUGGAUGUUUUAGACAGAGGCUGUUUUAAUGGAGAGAACAGCUGUAGGGGAGUCAGUUCUCUCUGCAUUUGUACCCACACCGCAUGUUUUGUCGGUAGCACAGAACUCUCCAAUGGUCCCCCGCAUCUGCCCCAUUCUUUUGCUUUUCUUUGGUUUAUUUCCCCCCUUUAGCGUCGUUCUCGGCGUGCUUUCUAAAUGAGACCUCAACCCGCCCACCCAAAGGAAACCGCAGCAUCUCAGGAUUUCACACCGAAGCCAGGCAGCCCCGCCUGCCUGUCGUAUCAGCAGAGGGAUGGAACUGAAGGCUCGGGGCGUUGGGCUGCCCGUGCAUCGCACCGCAGAGCCGCGGGCAUCCUAAAGGCAGCCCGGAGAAAAUCAGCAUGCGAAAACACCUUUUAAAAGGGCUUCAGCGAGGUUACAGACGGCAGAAAACAGCCUUUCUCCAUCCAUGCCCCUCAACCAGCAUUUACACGAGCGAUUUAUUUGCUGCUGUUUAAUUACCCGGCACUUAGGGCUGCCGAGGAUGCGGACGGAACCCGGACGGAACCCAAACGCAGCCGCAGCAGCGCGCAGCAGCUCUGCGCUGGGCGGGCCGGCACGUCACGUGACACAGCACUCCCGCGCCGCCAUUUGCACCAGAGCCGCGCACGCAGGCGCAGUGCUGCCUUCCGGCGGUGCAGCGCUUUUUCCCGCCCUUUCUGUCCCUCAGCGGCCGCGCGCUGCAGUCCGCCUUCUGUCCCUUAUCGCUCCGGGCGGCGCCAUGGGGGGGGAGGCGGCGCGCCCGCCGCUGAAGGUGCUGGCCGCACAGCUGCGGGGCGCGGUGCGCGGCGCCGGCGGGACGUGGCGGCUCGGCCGGGCGGAGGCGGGCCGGGCGCCGCUGUGCCUGCGGGCCGUGUGGAUGCAGGGCACCGUGCUGCGGGUGGAGCGCGGCGGCGGCGGCGGCGGCUCGGCACGGCUGCGGGACGGCAGCGGCCCCUUCACCGUGCUGGGGGUGGAGGACGUGCCCCGGGGCCGGCCGUGCCUCAGCGCAGGGAAGUACGUGAUGGUGAUGGGAGUGGUGCGGUCCUGCAGCCCCGAGCCCGUGCUCCGAGCAAUAAAGAUGACGGAUCUUUCCGAAAACCCGGUGCAUGAGGAGAUGUGGAGCCUGGAGGUGGAGGAGCUGCACAGAGUCAUCCCCUGAACUCUUCUGCCUAGAAGACUUGAAGUGAAUACAUUUCAUGGUUUGGUUACUGACUUCUGAGAAGGGAUUCUAAAGACACGCAAGGAGAAUAUGAAACUGGGCUGGUAUUUACUGUUCAAGAAGGUCUCAUGCUGAAAUGGAGAUAAAAUCCAGCUAAGUUUUGGGAGAUUCCUAGAAGCAGCCAUCCAGCAAGAAGAAUGCACAUCAUUCUAGAGGACCUUCUCCUAAAAAUGAGGAACAAAGAACCAGGAAAAGAAAACAAUCCAGAAAAAAGAGAGCAUGAACCAGAACAGUAAUGGAGAAAGAUUGAAGAGGGGAAAAAAGUAGAAAAUCUAAGAAAGCCAAAAAGAAAAAGAAGCCUGAAGAUAAACAUCAAAUGUACUACGAAUGCAAACUACCAAUCAAAACUAUCAACUCACUAUAAAGAGAGCCAACAAGGACAAGACUUGGUGUACUAAAAAAGCUCUCCAUCAAAUCCAGGCUUUAACCAUUGAAACCAACCACUCAAUGUUAUCAGAAUCAGUGACUUCAUUAUUCUUUUCUUGUAUCAGUAAUUCUCUUUCAUGGCAUUGCAGGGUUUUUAGGUCUUCAAACAAAUGUAAUCUUAAUUGAAUAAGAAAUAAAAAUUAAUGGCCACUUUGA